This 716-nucleotide ribosomal RNA is filed under the name Oerskovia sp. Its description in RNAcentral is "bacterial SSU rRNA". It matches the Rfam family "Bacterial small subunit ribosomal RNA", at positions 104 to 833 of the family's 1533-position model. Lineage: Bacteria; Bacillati; Actinomycetota; Actinomycetes; Micrococcales; Cellulomonadaceae. The record is from RNAcentral.
GGGUGAGUAACACGUGAGUAACCUGCCCCAGACUCCGGGAUAAGCCUUGGAAACGAGGUCUAAUACUGGAUACGAGAUGCCCCUGCAUGGGGAGUGUCUGGAAAGAUUUAUCGGUCUGGGAUGGACUCGCGGCCUAUCAGCUUGUUGGUGGGGUAAUGGCCUACCAAGGCGACGACGGGUAGCCGGCCUGAGAGGGCGACCGGCCACACUGGGACUGAGACACGGCCCAGACUCCUACGGGAGGCAGCAGUGGGGAAUAUUGCACAAUGGGCGAAAGCCUGAUGCAGCGACGCCGCGUGAGGGAUGAAGGCCUUCGGGUUGUAAACCUCUUUCAGCAGGGAAGAAGCGCAAGUGACGGUACCUGCAGAAGAAGCGCCGGCUAACUACGUGCCAGCAGCCGCGGUAAUACGUAGGGCGCAAGCGUUGUCCGGAAUUAUUGGGCGUAAAGAGCUCGUAGGCGGUUUGUCGCGUCUGGUGUGAAAACUCAAGGCUCAACCUUGAGCUUGCAUCGGGUACGGGCAGACUAGAGUGCGGUAGGGGUGACUGGAAUUCCUGGUGUAGCGGUGGAAUGCGCAGAUAUCAGGAGGAACACCGAUGGCGAAGGCAGGUCACUGGGCCGCAACUGACGCUGAGGAGCGAAAGCAUGGGGAGCGAACAGGAUUAGAUACCCUGGUAGUCCAUGCCGUAAACGUUGGGCACUAGGUGUGGGGCUCAUU